Molecule: ribosomal RNA, 1278 nt
Filed under: Escherichia coli
Lineage: Bacteria; Pseudomonadati; Pseudomonadota; Gammaproteobacteria; Enterobacterales; Enterobacteriaceae
Description: partial 23S ribosomal RNA
Rfam family: Bacterial large subunit ribosomal RNA
Source: RNAcentral
UGUAUAAUGGGUCAGCGACUUAUAUUCUGUAGCAAGGUUAACCGAAUAGGGGAGCCGAAGGGAAACCGAGUCUUAACUGGGCGUUAAGUUGCAGGGUAUAGACCCGAAACCCGGUGAUCUAGCCAUGGGCAGGUUGAAGGUUGGGUAACACUAACUGGAGGACCGAACCGACUAAUGUUGAAAAAUUAGCGGAUGACUUGUGGCUGGGGGUGAAAGGCCAAUCAAACCGGGAGAUAGCUGGUUCUCCCCGAAAGCUAUUUAGGUAGCGCCUCGUGAAUUCAUCUCCGGGGGUAGAGCACUGUUUCGGCAAGGGGGUCAUCCCGACUUACCAACCCGAUGCAAACUGCGAAUACCGGAGAAUGUUAUCACGGGAGACACACGGCGGGUGCUAACGUCCGUCGUGAAGAGGGAAACAACCCAGACCGCCAGCUAAGGUCCCAAAGUCAUGGUUAAGUGGGAAACGAUGUGGGAAGGCCCAGACAGCCAGGAUGUUGGCUUAGAAGCAGCCAUCAUUUAAAGAAAGCGUAAUAGCUCACUGGUCGAGUCGGCCUGCGCGGAAGAUGUAACGGGGCUAAACCAUGCACCGAAGCUGCGGCAGCGACACUGUGUGUUGUUGGGUAGGGGAGCGUUCUGUAAGCCUGUGAAGGUGUACUGUGAGGUAUGCUGGAGGUAUCAGAAGUGCGAAUGCUGACAUAAGUAACGAUAAAGCGGGUGAAAAGCCCGCUCGCCGGAAGACCAAGGGUUCCUGUCCAACGUUAAUCGGGGCAGGGUGAGUCGACCCCUAAGGCGAGGCCGAAAGGCGUAGUCGAUGGGAAACAGGUUAAUAUUCCUGUACUUGGUGUUACUGCGAAGGGGGGACGGAGAAGGCUAUGUUGGCCGGGCGACGGUUGUCCCGGUUUAAGCGUGUAGGCUGGUUUUCCAGGCAAAUCCGGAAAAUCAAGGCUGAGGCGUGAUGACGAGGCACUACGGUGCUGAAGCAACAAAUGCCCUGCUUCCAGGAAAAGCCUCUAAGCAUCAGGUAACAUCAAAUCGUACCCCAAACCGACACAGGUGGUCAGGUAGAGAAUACCAAGGCGCUUGAGAGAACUCGGGUGAAGGAACUAGGCAAAAUGGUGCCGUAACUUCGGGAGAAGGCACGCUGAUAUGUAGGUGAAGCGACUUGCUCGUGGAGCUGAAAUCAGUCGAAGAUACCAGCUGGCUGCAACUGUUUAUUAAAAACACAGCACUGUGCAAACACGAAAGUGGACGUAUACGGUGUGACGCCUGCCCGGUGCCGGA